Long non-coding RNA from Canis lupus familiaris (dog), 751 nucleotides. RefSeq lists it as uncharacterized. The record is from RefSeq and is a predicted model, not a curated record. The transcript is spliced from 4 exons. NCBI's taxonomy places the organism in Eukaryota, Metazoa, Chordata, Mammalia, Carnivora, Canidae.
CAGAUAGAGUUCACCUCAGAUUGACAGUGAAUUUCUCUUUUCUUCUCCAUUCUGUAUGUCUCCUAUCACUGAAUCUUUCUUUGCUUUUCUGCUUCCACUUUGAUUUUCUAAGUUUAGUUUGGACCAGAAUUCCAGAAAGCAGUGGUGAUAUGCUCCAUCUGAAGAUGAGGAUGCAUGUAUAAGGAGAAAGUGCUUGGCACUGCUGAUUCUGCUGGGCUUGAGCUAGUAUUAUAGAAGUAGGAAACUCUACUGUGGAGCAGAAAAAAACACUUCAUUGGGAGUCAGGAAACCUGGAUUCUAGUCCCAGAAUAACCUUGGAUUAAUGAGUAGAUGUGGCUCAAGCUAGAAAUCCUGUUGUAGCUGCAACCAGAAGGCAAGGACCCCAGCUCCUCCACUACAUUAGAGGAAGGAUCAGUUGUUGUCUCCCAACAAUUGCAGUAGCAGAUGAGAGCUGGAAUCUAAGGAGUUAUGAAGACUCUCAGCUAUGGCCAUAACUUAACUCCAAACCCUGAUUACACUGGGGAGUACUGGUACUUCCCUAAUUAUGCAGCUAAAAGCCAACAACACAUGGACUGUAUCUUACUUCCGGAGCCCGACACCCCUGCCUGCUGCUCCAGAAUGCAGUCAGCAGUGGGAGACACCUACAUCUUCUUGUCUCUUAAGAUUGUCUCCAGAGAGAUUGUUCUAGAAGGCUUUGUUUGUGUGCUGCCUGGUCGUUUUCUGUUGUUUGUACAAUAGGAUACCAAAUAAA